UGGGACACUGUUCCAUGGUUGUUUUCUCUG
Molecule: non-coding RNA, 30 nt
Filed under: Mus musculus (house mouse)
Lineage: Eukaryota; Metazoa; Chordata; Mammalia; Rodentia; Muridae
Source: RNAcentral